AUAAAUGAUAACAAUAAGAAUUAAAAUUUCGAGAGAUAAAAUCCGUAUAACAAAUUAGUACAACCAAAAGUGAGAUACAAAAACCUAAGAACUAAGUCUAAGGCAAUAUAACUUCUAGCAACAGAAAACACAUAAAGAAGCAAAUCAAUCACAUAAAGAAGCAAAUCAAUAAAUGAAACAGUUUUCUAUACAAGAGAGUUUCACUGUGAGACAUGUAAGGAACAAAACUGAUGUUACUUGGUUAUCACCUGGUUCAACUAACUGGCUCUAAUAACGUUCGGUACUCUGUUUCAGU
RNAcentral lists this long non-coding RNA (295 nucleotides) under Trifolium pratense (red clover). RNAcentral's name for it is "long non-coding RNA (TPRA_LNC001513)". Lineage: Eukaryota; Viridiplantae; Streptophyta; Magnoliopsida; Fabales; Fabaceae. The record is from RNAcentral.